RNAcentral lists this ribosomal RNA (162 nucleotides) under Triticum aestivum (bread wheat). RNAcentral describes it as "partial small subunit ribosomal RNA". Lineage: Eukaryota; Viridiplantae; Streptophyta; Magnoliopsida; Poales; Poaceae. The record is from RNAcentral.
GCCUGUUAUCUCUAUCAAGAUGAUUCUAAUUCGUCAGAUAUUAUUUAUUCUAGUAUCUGGAACACGAAAUAGAUAGAGUGGAUCAAAAAAGGAACUAUGAUUCAUACUCACUAUUAAGACCUCGGAAGGGAACGCGCUUCUGUCCUUCUGUCAUUGGACUGA